GCGAAGACACGAAUGAGGAAGAAUGAGGAAUCAGGAAACUGAUAGGGGCGGUGAAGAGGGGAGUUCAUUCAUCCAACACUUUUUUUAGCAACAGUCCCUAAAAUGCCACGUUAAGUGCCCCCGAUAAUUCCACUGAGAUUCACUGAAUCUGAGAUCGCUUGGUGCAAACUUAGCAAAAGUUUAGUACAGAGUACAUGAUUUAAUCACAAGACCCUCCCGGCGUGUCAAACAGCAAGCUCAUCCUUAUUUGUAUCUGAAAAUUGUUCCUUUGCCUGAAUUCGAAGCGACUGGACUUCACGCUUCACGAACGAGGAUCACGCCUGUUCCCUGCUGCAGGCUACACCCCAGAAGCAUUUCCCUCUGCCUCGUUUACGCCAAUCUACAACUCCGAGUCAGGGCGAGGGGUGCUGAAGAAAUGAUUGUGUGACAAUCCUCCAAUCUGAAAACAUGGACUGACAUUUUCUAGGCACUGAAUGACGUAGACACUGGCAAGUUAGUUGAAAAAAAAAGAUGUAAUGAACAAAAGUGGAUUAAGAAGAACCAGUGGAUAUCAGAUGUUUGGACUUUUAGUAUGGUGCCAUGCAAAAGGUUCAACUGAACAAGCCUGGUGGCAAAAGGGACUGAACUUACAGGAUGCACAAGGUCAAAUUUUGCUUCUGUGGAUAAGUCUGCAGAUCCAGCAGGCCUGUCUCUGGCUGUUGUAUGUGUUGUCAAACCAAGUCUGCACCUCAUCAUGGAUAUACUUGCUGCCACCAUCUUUGUUACAUAUCAGGAUCUGCAAGGCCCUCUUAGAGUUCGCUGACUGGAAACGUGAGAUGCUGAGAGUUUUGCAUUACCUCGAACCUCUUCGGUCUUCAUUCAGUAGUGAUGUCCUUCAUUUUUCUUGGGAGAAACGUACAUAUUCAACAUCAACUGUCAUAACAAAUGCUGCAAAUCUCCUGUUAUAGUUGACAACUGCUCUUCAUCAAAGCUUUAUGCAGGGACGAUGUCGACAGGAGGAUAUGGAGAAUCACAUGACCC
Rhincodon typus (whale shark) is the source of this 1020-nucleotide long non-coding RNA. RefSeq lists it as uncharacterized. The transcript has 6 exons. Lineage: Eukaryota; Metazoa; Chordata; Chondrichthyes; Orectolobiformes; Rhincodontidae. The record is from RefSeq and is a predicted model, not a curated record.